Molecule: long non-coding RNA, 282 nt
Filed under: Capsicum annuum
Lineage: Eukaryota; Viridiplantae; Streptophyta; Magnoliopsida; Solanales; Solanaceae
Description: long non-coding RNA (CANN_LNC019295)
Source: RNAcentral
UCUUCAUCCGUGAGUUGUUGUGUCGGAGAAUGUUGUCCUUGUAGGUCCUGCCUUUUUGAGCUAUUUAGUUGUAUGAGGUAUAUACACUGGUUUACUUGUAGUAUGUUGGUAGGUUAUGGUAUUAUGGAUAAUGUCUUGAUAGUUAUUCUUGCAUGCGCAUAACCUAUCACUAGUAUGCAACAAUAUCAAUAAGCCUUAUAGGGGGUUGCAUUGUAUUGGUGAUGAGUAUGACUUUUGUUGUGUUGUAUGUUGAUUGAACCUUCUUAGCCUAGGGAAGUGGGG